Molecule: long non-coding RNA, 1807 nt
Filed under: Pomacea canaliculata
Lineage: Eukaryota; Metazoa; Mollusca; Gastropoda; Architaenioglossa; Ampullariidae
Description: uncharacterized LOC112556199
Source: RNAcentral
AGCCAGGAGGACACAUUUAACAUUCCUUUCUGAAUCUUGUCAUCUACGAGCUAAAAUAUUCUUUGUAUAAGCAGAAAGCUGGUUGUGAGUUUGUGAGAAAGUAUGUAGAUGAAACACUUCCUCCCAUCAUUCCUAUAAAUAGAAAGCUGGCUGCGAGUUUCUCAGAAACUAGGGAAGGAGGCAGUUCCUCGAAUCAUUUCGCUGUCGACUCACGCUGCAGUCGCCGCUUUGAAGCCUCAAGGUGUAACAUCAAAAAUAGAACAGGGUUUCCUAGAAUGGGAAAUUGGUUCUCUGAUCACGUGGAUUUCUACCACUAUACCAGCGAAAGUGGAAUUGAUGCAAUCAUGGAUUCGGGAUACAUCAAAGAAAGCCAGACCGGUGGUCCUGAUGCAUUCUUCGGAUCAGGUGUCUACGGAACAUCACUGCCACCUUCCGUAGGUAAAAGAGAAAUAGCCAACAAUAACUGGAAAGAAGGUUGGAGAAGUCGGGAACAUGCUGGCAGGGUGGACUAUGUCAUCAAGCUGCAUAUUCCCUCAACCAGUUUAAAGGAAUUCAAAACACCCACCCGCCAAGUGUAUCUUCAUCCGGGUCGUAUCCAUCUUGACGACUAUUCGUGGGAAAUUCUGGAAGUAUAAAGGACUGUGCUGUUAUCCUUUGACAUCAUUACUCCAUCUUAAGUGUUAAUUGUACCCAGCUAUAACAAUUACAUAGCUUCUACCUAUGGGCAUUAACUGUUACGCUUACACCAAGUGUGAGACAACAAUCAGAAUUCCCCUUGUGAAUUAACUAAGUUGUUUUGAAUUGUAACUUUCACAACAGACGUAUAUUUAACAUUUCUCUGUUACAGCAGUUGCUAGUAUACAUCCAUGUGUAGGUAUUUGUAUGGUAUGGAUAAAUAGAUAGUAAAGAGCGUUUAUAAAAGUACCUCUACAACAAUGUAGGUGUUUUUAGUGUGAGGUUUUGGUUUUUUUUUUUUUUGGUUUUUGUUUGUUUGUUUGUUUUUUUACCAAAAUAACUGGACUAUCUUCUGUGGACUUUUAUUACAACAUAAGUAGCUCUCUUAAGUAGGGUACAAGUCAUAUACUGAUAACUGAUGUAUAAAACAAUAUUUGUUGUAAAGGGGACACUACAUUGAGAGAAGAUGGUCUGUUCCUAACUGAUAUGAAGGCUUGCAUCCCUGUUACCUUUAUUAACGCCAUCCGCAAAGCCAGUUAAUGUGAAAAUAGUAGCUGAUGAUACACUGCAUUUCCUUAUUUAGAGAAACUUACUAUGUGCACAGAACAGUUCCUGUUUAACAGCAGCUUCCACAUGUUAAAACAUUUUAUAACAAAUAGCAGUUUACAGCAACUUACACUAUUUAUAACAAAUUGCAAUAUACAGCAACUACCACAUUUUAAAACAAAUAGCAAUAUACAGCAACUAUCACUAUUUAUAACAAAUAACAAUAAACAGCAACUACCACAUUUUAUAACAAAUAACAACAUACAGCACCUACCACUAUUUCUAACAAAUAGCAAUAUACAUCAACUACCAUUGGGAAGCAUUUAUCCAUUAACAGCAGUAACCCUAACUCACAGAUACAUUGUGUAGGAAGAUGCUCGACUUUGUGUGACAAACUCCAUCCUGACGGUGAACGACUUUUACAUCAUUGCCUCCUAAAUAUCUUUUUGGGGGCGCUGCCUCCACCCCCUUGCCUACCCCACUGAGAUAUGUAUCACUGUUUUUGUGACUGCUAUAUGUUUCUAUAGAUAUACAAAGCAAUAUUUCUCCUACAUUAUUUCUUUACUAUUAAAUGUUUACAAUUCAA